GUCCUCAGUGGUUCCAGAUGGCUUUGCUGCACUGAGAAGGCACUGGUCUCCUUUCCAGUGGUGAAGGACAGAUGAGAGAAGGGAAAUCCAGAAGGCAGAGAGGAAGGUAAAAAUUGCCUACAACACCAUCAUCCAGAGAUCACCACUAUCAGCAUUCUGGCUGUUCCCCUGCCUUUGGCAUCUCUAUCUCCCAACCUGCUGUGACAUUCACUUUAAGAUCCAGGGUCCUGGUACCCGAACCAGCCACAGAGUGACAUCAGCAGUGUUAGCCAGACCCAGGAUGUGGACAUGCACUGGAAGGGUUCGACUCCAAGGCAAAUCCAGGUGGAGGGUAUGGAGGUGGAGCUACCGUCUGUCACCACACAAACCAUUAAGGAAGCCUUUCCCCUUUAAGGACUGUCAUUGCAGUAGUAACGAGUGGCUCAUUUAGCAGAGAUUCCCAGAGGAAGCAAGGAGAGCGAAGUUGAAUUAUGCCCCAUCUACACAUACCCAGGUAUGUGCUGGAGUUUCAGAAGAUGUAGCCCAGGAAUACCAAGA
Molecule: long non-coding RNA, 537 nt
Organism: Prionailurus viverrinus (fishing cat)
Lineage: Eukaryota; Metazoa; Chordata; Mammalia; Carnivora; Felidae
Exons: 4
Source: RefSeq, a predicted model, not a curated record